AGAGUUUGAUCCUGGCUCAGGAUGAACGCUGGCGGCGUGCCUAAUACAUGCAAGUCGAGCGAACGGACGAGAAGCUUGCUUCUCUGAUGUUAGCGGCGGACGGGUGAGUAACACGUGGAUAACCUACCUAUAAGACUGGGAUAACUUCGGGAAACCGGAGCUAAUACCGGAUAAUAUUUUGAUCUGCAUGGUUCAAAAGUAAAAGACGGUCUUGCUGUCACUUAUAGAUGGAUCCGCGCUGCAUUAGCUAGUUGGUAAGGUAACGGCUUACCAAGGCAACGAUGCAUAGCCGACCUGAGAGGGUGAUCGGCCACACUGGAACUGAGACACGGUCCAGACUCCUACGGGAGGCAGCAGUAGGGAAUCUUCCGCAAUGGGCGAAAGCCUGACGGAGCAACGCCGCGUGAGUGAUGAAGGUCUUCGGAUCGUAAAACUCUGUUAUUAGGGAAGAACAUAUGUGUAAGUAACUGUGCACAUCUUGACGGUACCUAAUCAGAAAGCCACGGCUAACUACGUGCCAGCAGCCGCGGUAAUACGUAGGUGGCAAGCGUUAUCCGGAAUUAUUGGGCGUAAAGCGCGCGUAGGCGGUUUUUUAAGUCUGAUGUGAAAGCCCACGGCUCAACCGUGGAGGGUCAUUGGAAACUGGAAAACUUGAGUGCAGAAGAGGAAAGUGGAAUUCCAUGUGUAGCGGUGAAAUGCGCAGAGAUAUGGAGGAACACCAGUGGCGAAGGCGACUUUCUGGUCUGUAACUGACGCUGAUGUGCGAAAGCGUGGGGAUCAAACAGGAUUAGAUACCCUGGUAGUCCACGCCGUAAACGAUGAGUGCUAAGUGUUAGGGGGUUUCCGCCCCUUAGUGCUGCAGCUAACGCAUUAAGCACUCCGCCUGGGGAGUACGACCGCAAGGUUGAAACUCAAAGGAAUUGACGGGGACCCGCACAAGCGGUGGAGCAUGUGGUUUAAUUCGAAGCAACGCGAAGAACCUUACCAAAUCUUGACAUCCUUUGACAACUCUAGAGAUAGAGCNUUCCCCUUCGGGGGACAAAGUGACAGGUGGUGCAUGGUUGUCGUCAGCUCGUGUCGUGAGAUGUUGGGUUAAGUCCCGCAACGAGCGCAACCCUUAAGCUUAGUUGCCAUCAUUAAGUUGGGCACUCUAAGUUGACUGCCGGUGACAAACCGGAGGAAGGUGGGGAUGACGUCAAAUCAUCAUGCCCCUUAUGAUUUGGGCUACACACGUGCUACAAUGGACAAUACAAAGGGCAGCGAAACCGCGAGGUCAAGCAAAUCCCAUAAAGUUGUUCUCAGUUCGGAUUGUAGUCUGCAACUCGACUACAUGAAGCUGGAAUCGCUAGUAAUCGUAGAUCAGCAUGCUACGGUGAAUACGUUCCCGGGUCUUGUACACACCGCCCGUCACACCACGAGAGUUUGUAACACCCGAAGCCGGUGGAGUAACCUUUUAGGAGCUAGCCGUCGAAGGUGGGACAAAUGAUUGGGGUGAAGUCGUAACAAGGUAGCCGUAUCGGAAGGUGCGGCUGGAUCACCU
Molecule: ribosomal RNA, 1540 nt
Filed under: Staphylococcus aureus
Lineage: Bacteria; Bacillati; Bacillota; Bacilli; Caryophanales; Staphylococcaceae
Description: 16S ribosomal RNA
Rfam family: Bacterial small subunit ribosomal RNA
Source: RNAcentral